AACGCGAAGAACCUUACCUAAGCUUGACAUCCCACUGACCUCUCCCUAAUCGGAGAUUUCCCUUCGGGGACAGUGGUGACAGGUGGUGCAUGGUUGUCGUCAGCUCGUGUCGUGAGAUGUUGGGUUAAGUCCCGCAACGAGCGCAACCCUUGCUUUUAGUUGCCAGCAUUAAGUUGGGCACUCUAGAGGGACUGCCAGGGAUAACCUGGAGGAAGGUGGGGAUGACGUCAAAUCAUCAUGCCCCUUAUGCUUAGGGCUACACACGUGCUACAAUGGGUGGUACAGAGGGCAGCCAAGUCGUGAGGCGGAGCUAAUCCCUUAAAGCCAUUCUCAGUUCGGAUUGUAGGCUGAAACUCGCCUACAUGAAGCUGGAGUUACUAGUAAUCGCAGAUCAGAAUGCUGCGGUGAAUGCGUUCCCGGGUCUUGUACACACCG
This 435-nucleotide ribosomal RNA is filed under the name uncultured bacterium. Its description in RNAcentral is "bacterial SSU rRNA". It matches the Rfam family "Bacterial small subunit ribosomal RNA", at positions 958 to 1392 of the family's 1533-position model. The record is from RNAcentral.